Long non-coding RNA from Camelina sativa (false flax), 641 nucleotides. RefSeq lists it as uncharacterized. The record is from RefSeq and is a predicted model, not a curated record. Lineage: Eukaryota; Viridiplantae; Streptophyta; Magnoliopsida; Brassicales; Brassicaceae.
AAGAGAGGAUUAAAAAAACGACACGUUGUUCACCGUGUUAUAACAAAGACGGCACGUUUCUGGGGUACGUGCUUCGUCUUCCUAGAGAGAGAUUCAGAAUCAUCAGAUCACCGAGUUUCGCACUUGAAUCCUGCUUCCAGGAUUUUGAUUAUAUGAACUUUGUGGAGGAUUUUGGAAAAGAGAAAUGGAUUGGAAAGGGCAAAAACUAGCGGAAGAGCUGAUGCAAAUUCUGCUCAUAGCCUUUGGCGUUGUUGCUUUCGUUGCUGGAUAUGUAACGUCUUCGUUUGGGACAAUGAUGAUGAUCUAUGCUGGAGUUGUGCUUUUUACAGCUAUGUUCACUGUCCCUAAUUGGCCUUUUUUCAAUCGUCAUCCCCUAAGUGGUUAGAUCCAAUUGAAGCAGAGAAGUAUCCUAAACCUGAACUGACGAGCUGAGUCUUGGAAGAAGAGAAAGAAUAAGCAUUGUUAGGUUUGAUUCUUUGAGAGCUUCUCUGUUUUGGAGUUCAAGAUUGUUUGAUAUGGUUAUGGUCUCUGAAUUCUCAAUCUUUACCUUGAUAGACCUUUUUUUAAUGUAAUGAGAUGAGCUAUUCUAAAUUGCAAACGUUUUGGUGAUCAAAGAUAUGUUAAUCUUUCUAUGUUCAUUA